AAACGAAGUGGGAAGGCUUAGACAGCUAGGAUGUUGGCUUAGAAGCAGCCACCAUUUAAAGAAAGCGUAAUAGCUCACUGAUCGAGUCGUCUUGCGCGGAAGAUGUAACGGGGCUCAAGCCAGUUACCGAAGCUGCGGAUGCACAGCAAUGUGCGUGGUAGGAGAGCGUUCUGUAAGUCUGUGAAGGCAGCUUGAGAAGGCUGCUGGAGAUAUCAGAAGUGCGAAUGCUGACAUGAGUAGCGUUAAGGCGGGUGAAAAGCCCGCUCGCCGUAAGCGCAAGGUUUUCUAUGCAACGUUCAUCGGCGUAGAGUAAGUCGGCCCCUAAGGUAAGGCAGAGAUGCGUAGCUGAUGGGAAACAGGUUAAUAUUCCUGUACCGAUGUGCAGUGCGAUGUGGGGACGGAUCUUAAUAGGUUGUCCGGGUUUUGGAUAUCCCGGUUUAGGUGGAAGUAGGUGUGCAUCAGGCAAAUCCGGUGCAUAUGUGCCCAGGCCAUCGAUCGAGCAAGCUUGCUUGCGAAGCAACUGAACGAGGUUCCAGGAAAAGCCACUAAGCUUCAGCUGCACACGACCGUACCGCAAACCGACACUGGUGCGCGAGAUGAGUAUUCUAAGGCGCUUGAGAGAACUCAGGAGAAGGAACUCGGCAAAUUGACACCGUAACUUCGGGAGAAGGUGUGCCCUAGUAGUGUGAUGAGAACAUCUGAGCAUGAAUGGGUUGCAAAAAAUAGGUGGCUGCGACUGUUUAUUAAAAACACAGCACUCUGCAAACACGAAAGUGGACGUAUAGGGUGUGACGCCUGCCCGGUGCUGGAAGAUUAAGUGAUGGGGUGCAAGCUCUUGAUCGAAGUCCCAGUAAACGGCGGCCGUAACUAUAACGGUCCUAAGGUAGCGAAAUUCCUUGUCGGGUAAGUUCCGACCUGCACGAAUGGCGUAACGAUGGCCACACUGUCUCCUCCCGAGACUCAGCGAAGUUGAAAUGUUUGUGAUGAUGCAAUCUCCCCGCAGCUAGACGGAAAGACCCCAUGAACCUUUACUGUAGCUUUGCAUUGGAUUGCGAACCGACUUGUGUAGGAUAGGUGGGAGGCUUUGAAGUCAGGACGCCAGUCUUGAUGGAGCCAUCCUUGAAAUACCACCCUGGUUUGUUCGCGGUUCUAACCUUGGCCCGUGAUCCGGGCUGGAGACAGUGCAUGGUGGGCAGUUUGACUGGGGCGGUCUCCUCCUAAAGAGUAACGGAGGAGUUCGAAGGUACGCUUGGUACGGUCGGACAUCGUGCCUAAAGUGCAAUGGCAAAAGCGUGCUUGACUGCGAGACUGACAAGUCGAGCAGGUGCGAAAGCAGGACAUAGUGAUCCGGUGGUUCUGUAUGGAAGGGCCAUCGCUCAACGGAUAAAAGGUACUCUGGGGAUAACAGGCUGAUACCGCCCAAGAGUUCAUAUCGACGGCGGUGUUUGGCACCUCGAUGUCGGCUCAUCUCAUCCUGGGGCUGUAGCCGGUCCCAAGGGUAUGGCUGUUCGCCAUUUAAAGAGGUACGUGAGCUGGGUUUAAAACGUCGUGAGACAGUUUGGUCCCUAUCUGCUGUGGGCGUUGGAGAUUUGACGGGGGCUGCUCCUAGUACGAGAGGACCGGAGUGGACACACCUCUGGUGUACCUGUUGUCACGCCAGUGGCAUCGCAGGGUAGCUAAGUGUGGAAGAGAUAACCGCUGAAAGCAUCUAAGCGGGAAACU
This 1722-nucleotide ribosomal RNA is filed under the name human oral metagenome. Its description in RNAcentral is "bacterial LSU rRNA". It matches the Rfam family "Bacterial large subunit ribosomal RNA", at positions 1068 to 2794 of the family's 2925-position model. The record is from RNAcentral.